CAGCCGCCGCGGUAAUACGAAGGGGGCUAGCGUUGUUCGGAAUUACUGGGCGUAAAGCGCACGUAGGCGGAUCGAUCAGUCAGGGGUGAAAUCCCAGGGCUCAACCCUGGAACUGCCUUUGAUACUGUCGAUCUGGAGUAUGGAAGAGGUGAGUGGAAUUCCGAGUGUAGAGGUGAAAUUCGUAGAUAUUCGGAGGAACACCAGUGGCGAAGGCGGCUCACUGGUCCAUUACUGACGCUGAGGUGCGAAAGCGUGGGGAGCAAACAGGAUUAGAUACCCCCGUAGUCCCUGUCUCUUAUAC
RNAcentral lists this ribosomal RNA (301 nucleotides) under uncultured bacterium. Its description in RNAcentral is "partial 16S ribosomal RNA". It matches the Rfam family "Bacterial small subunit ribosomal RNA", at positions 509 to 807 of the family's 1533-position model. The record is from RNAcentral.